Molecule: ribosomal RNA, 470 nt
Filed under: uncultured bacterium
Lineage: Bacteria
Description: partial 16S ribosomal RNA
Rfam family: Bacterial small subunit ribosomal RNA
Source: RNAcentral
GACGAACGCUGGCGGCGUGCCUAACACAUGCAAGCCGAGCGGGGUUCCUUCGGGAACCUAGCGGCGAACGGGUGAGUAACACGUGGGCAACCUGCCCUCAAGCCUGGGAUAACUCCGGGAAACCGGUGCUAAUACCAGAUAAUCAUUGCUUCCGCAUGGAAGCUUUGUAAAAGUUUUUCGCUUGAGGAUGGGCCCGCGGUGCAUUAGCUUGUUGGUGGGGUAAUGGCCUACCAAGGCGACGAUGCAUAGCCGACCUGAGAGGGUGACCGGCCACACUGGGACUGAGACACGGCCCAGACUCCUACGGGAGGCAGCAGUAGGGAAUUUUCCGCAAUGGGCGAAAGCCUGACGGAGCAACGCCGCGUGAGUGAUGACGGCCUUCGGGUUGUAAAGCUCUGUUCUUAGGGAAGAAGUUCUGACGGUACCUAAGGAGAAAGCCCCGGCUAACUACGUGCCAGCCGCCGCUGUAA